GGGUUGGUGAGGGCAAUCUAGUCAACAUCUGUCACUCCAUUGCUUGUUAGGAUUAUUUUAGCCGAUUUGUCUGACUGGGCAGGUGUCCCCUCUCUCCCUCAGUGCUCCAUGUGCAUCCCUCUUGAAGCUUCGCACUCUGUUGAAGAGGACACUCAUCCCAGGUAGAGAGGGGGACGGGAAACUGGGCCAA
This is a non-coding RNA of Callithrix jacchus (white-tufted-ear marmoset), 190 nucleotides long. The record is from Rfam. Lineage: Eukaryota; Metazoa; Chordata; Mammalia; Primates; Cebidae.